Dendrobium catenatum is the source of this 608-nucleotide long non-coding RNA. RefSeq lists it as uncharacterized. Lineage: Eukaryota; Viridiplantae; Streptophyta; Magnoliopsida; Asparagales; Orchidaceae. The record is from RefSeq and is a predicted model, not a curated record. The transcript has 3 exons.
AACAAGAGAAACGAACGAGAAGGAAAAAAGGGAAGAAGAGAAUAAGGAAGAGAUUGAAGCAAAGAAAAAGGAAUUUGGGAGAGAAAGGAUUUUGGGAAUUUGAGAAGGUUCUAGAAAGUGAAAGAUCAAGUCGUAAGUGUUGAUCCCGCGAGGAUUCAACAAGAAGAGAAAUUGAUUCAAGAGUAGAUCAAGCAUCGAAGACAUAAAAAGUUCAAAGUCGGUAAAUUAAAUUAUUUUAAGAUUUUAUUCAUGUUGUAAUCUUCUAAGUAACUGAUAAAAUUUUGUGUGAUAUCUUAUGAUUUUAUGGCUUUAAGAACAAAUUCAUCCGCUAUAAAAGUUUGAAAGUAUAUGAUAAUGAGAAAAUAAAAGAGAAAAUAGAAAAGAAAAGGGAAACAAAAGACUAUAUGCUUGGAAGUAAAACAGAUGUAAUAUAACAAGGAAAAGGUAUUGAAAAAUCUUAUAGGAGUUCACCCACUUAUGGUACUGGCUGGGGAUGCCGUACUCGUGCACGUAAAAAGGAAAAAAGAAAUGAAAAAUAGAAAAAGUAAAAUGUAAAAGGUUGUACCUUUGGGUACAUUAAGACGGUGCUCCUAUAUGAAUUAAGUGGG